Molecule: ribosomal RNA, 600 nt
Filed under: uncultured bacterium
Lineage: Bacteria
Description: bacterial SSU rRNA
Rfam family: Bacterial small subunit ribosomal RNA
Source: RNAcentral
ACGGUCGCAAGGCUGAAACUCAAAGAAUUGACGGGGGCCCGCACAAGCGGUGGAGCAUGUGGUUUAAUUCGACGCAACGCGAAGAACCUUACCUGGGCUCGAACGGGCUAGUGCUAGUCGGUGAAAGUCGGCGUUCUCUUCGGAGACGCUAGCCGAGGUGCUGCAUGGCUGUCGACAGCUCGUGUCGUGAGAUGUUGGGUUAAGUCCCGCAACGAGCGCAACCCUUGCCUUUAGUUGCCAGCAUUUAGUUGGGCACUCUAAAGGGACUGCCGGUGAAAAACCGGAGGAAGGUGGGGAUGACGUCAAGUCCUCAUGGCCUUUAUGUCCAGGGCUACACACGUGCUACAAUGGGCGGUACAGAGGGUCGCAAACCCGCAAGGGGGAGCUAAUCUCAAAAAGCCGUCCUCAGUUCGGAUUGGAGUCUGCAACUCGACUCCAUGAAGUUGGAAUCGCUAGUAAUCGCGGAUCAGCAUGCCGCGGUGAAUACGUUCCCGGGCCUUGUACACACCGCCCGUCACAUCACGAAAGCCGUUUGUACUAGAAGCCGGUAAUUCAACCUUCGGGAGAUAGCCGUCCAAGGUAUGAAUGGUGAUUGGGGUG